CGGCGGACGGGUGAGUAACGCGUGGGUAACCUACCCUGUACACACGGAUAACAUACCGAAAGGUAUGCUAAUACGGGAUAAUAUAUUUGAGAGGCAUCUCUUGAAUACCAAAGGUGAGCCAGUACAGGAUGGACCCGCGUCUGAUUAGCUAGUUGGUAAGGUAACGGCUUACCAAGGCGACGAUCAGUAGCCGACCUGAGAGGGUGAUCGGCCACAUUGGAACUGAGACACGGUCCAA
This 238-nucleotide ribosomal RNA is filed under the name uncultured bacterium. RNAcentral's name for it is "partial 16S ribosomal RNA". It matches the Rfam family "Bacterial small subunit ribosomal RNA", at positions 96 to 334 of the family's 1533-position model. The record is from RNAcentral.